Paramuricea clavata is the source of this 115-nucleotide non-coding RNA. NCBI's taxonomy places the organism in Eukaryota, Metazoa, Cnidaria, Anthozoa, Malacalcyonacea, Plexauridae. The record is from the annotation of a GenBank genome assembly.
GCGUUUGCAACAGACUUACAACAAGCUUUUCAUGUCAAGAUGUUCGCAACAGACCUAGACUUGUAGCGAACAUCUUGUUGACAUGAAAAGCUUGUUGUAAGUCUGUUGCAGACAA